GCACAGCACUGCUAUGGGGGCAGCACUGCUAUGGGGGCAGCACUGCUAUGGGGUCAGCACUGCUAUGGGGUGAGCACAGCACUGCUAUG
Molecule: long non-coding RNA, 89 nt
Filed under: Phasianus colchicus (ring-necked pheasant)
Lineage: Eukaryota; Metazoa; Chordata; Aves; Galliformes; Phasianidae
Description: lncRNA (ENSPCLG00000018918.1)
Source: RNAcentral